CUAUCGGCUUUUAGCCGAUGGAAGUUUGAGGCAAUAACAGGUCUGUGAUGCCCUUAGACGUUCUGGGCCGCACGCGUGCUACACUGACCGAGCCAGCGAGUCCUUUCCUUGGCCGGAAGGCCUG
This 124-nucleotide ribosomal RNA is filed under the name Platygloea sp. RNAcentral's name for it is "partial small subunit ribosomal RNA". It matches the Rfam family "Eukaryotic small subunit ribosomal RNA", at positions 1420 to 1544 of the family's 1831-position model. Lineage: Eukaryota; Fungi; Basidiomycota; Pucciniomycetes; Platygloeales; Platygloeaceae. The record is from RNAcentral.